This is a long non-coding RNA of Myiozetetes cayanensis, 7838 nucleotides long. RefSeq lists it as uncharacterized. The transcript has 11 exons. The record is from RefSeq and is a predicted model, not a curated record. Lineage: Eukaryota; Metazoa; Chordata; Aves; Passeriformes; Tyrannidae.
GAUGAGAUAGAAGUUGGAGUUAAGUAAGUGAAAACUCUGUCUUCAGAAUCUCAAGUUUCAAAAGAAACAUAACUCUGGAUUUUGGAUCGUCUGACUUCCUUUUCCAGUGAUGUGUCAAGUCCAGUAUUUCAGUGUGAAACACUGAUGUGACAGACUGCCAUAAUGCAAUGUGUUUAACCACCUCAGUGAUGCAUCAAGUGAAAGGAGUUCCCAAAGAUUCAGUUCACACAUGCACACACACACAAAAAAAAUGAGGGAUAAACAGUUUGGGGAAGCGGAACAUAAAUUUUUCACAUAGUUUGGCACAAAUUCAAUUAUAAUUUGUAAAUGUUCAAUCAAUUAGACCACUCAAUUGGUUAACUUAUAACUUUGAAGGCAGAUUAUCUUUUCCAAGAGAAAAUCUUCUCUUAACCAAGAGCUUUUGUGUUAACUGCUCCAGAAGGAAAAUACUACAUUUGCCAUAGAAUAUGAAUAGACUCUCAGGAGAAAAGUGUGUAAUACCAUGAUGUCUUUGGCUGAAUUUCAAGAUUUUCAUAGGAAUAGGCUAGUUAAACCUUUAAAGUUCCAAAUGACACACAAACACUUCCCUUCCCCCCCCCCAAAAAAAAAAGGAACAAUGCAAGUUUCUUUCCUUUACAUUAGAAGUAAUAAUAUGAUGUCUUUAUCAUAUUUAACAUUUAUAGUGGUAAUUCAGUAUUAAUUGCUGGUACAUUCACAUUUAGAAUUGAAGAAACUUCAUGAAAGUCCAUCAGUUUUUCCUUAAUUUUCAAAUACUUUUCCGGAGUCUCACUUCCACACUUAUUUUACUUGUAGCCUAUUUAAGUUCAAAACCUGGCAGUUCCUAUACAAGAUAUCAUAGUCUUCAUACAUUAUCAACAGUCACUUCACAAACAUUGCAGACUACAUAUGGGUGACUUUACUGGCAUCUGGGUGCCAGGGAAGGAAGACUUGUAAACAUGGAGAUACAGAAAGCUGAGGGAAAUGGGAGGGAGAUCCACACCAGGUAAGUACACAGCAUGCACUGCUGUAUUUUUUGUUACAACUCUACCACUAGGGGUGAAAAAAAUCUUCUAUUAAACAUUUUUUCCUGCUACAAGGACAGCACAUGCCUGUCAGAGAGCAGGAACACUGAUGGGUUUGGCAGCCUCAUGAUGGCACCAGAAGAAAACAGUGAGACGCUGGAGCUAUGUCCCCUCUGCUAUCUUGCAGGACAAAUUCGUUGAAUACAUUUUAUGUGGAGAAACCACAACUGUCUGCAGUCUGGGAGCAGUUCAUGAGUGGCUGUGGUCCACUGACAGAACAACAACUGAAAUAUUGUUCAAACAGAAAAUGUUGCAUUUACUCUCUCUCCUGUUGAAGGCAGUCGCUGUGUUGGCUGCACAAGUUUGACUGAGCACUGAACAUGUAGACCAAAACUAAAUCAUAACCAGAGUCUGUCUGAAAUCUUGUCUGCCAACAAGCACAACAGAAAUGAUGUCUGUCCAAGCACUGCUGCCUCUGGGUUAAGAUGUAUCGUAAUGAUGAGCUGCCUCACUAAUUAUAGCUGAAUGCAGGAGUCUUGGCUGCCUGCUUGUGACUGCAUGUAACCUUUUUGAAAGCCCCCAAAUAUCUUAGGAGCCUGAAUCUCAUUGAAAGUCAGAUAGCUGAGGGGUGACUAAAUAGAAAACAGUCUAAAUGCAGUGAGAUUGCCUGGAAUGGUCUCAUAAAUUUCAGAGCUCUCCUUCUACCCAAGUUUUGGCAGUUGUACUCUGUAGAAGUUACAUAGUGGCUGGCUGACUGUUAAAUACUGUUUAGUUGGCCAAAUCUGGAUGAUUUUUGGAAGAGUGAGUGGCUGCUAAUUUUUUUCAGCCUCCCAUCACCCACGCCUGUUGAUCUGCUGUGGCCGUGCAAUAUUGGUCUGUACUACCCAAGGUGGUGGGGAGCAUGGAGCGCUCCCACAGAACGUGCAGCAUGCCAGCUCUCUUUAGUUCAGUGAGGACUGGAGGAUUUUUUUCCCUGUGGAUCUUUUACAUGCAAGUCAGGCUCCAUAUAGCCCACAGUUAAAAAAAAAAAGAAAAGGAAAAAAAAUCCUUCACUACAGAGACAAAUGGCAACAUGUGGCUGGAAGAUAACAGAAAUGUACAUGCAAGUGCAAAAAUUAAAUAUGGAAAUAUGAAAAUGAGGGUUUGUGUUUUGGGGUUUUUUAAGCAAAAAAACUGAUUCACUUCUCAUUGCUGGAAAUUACAUGGGGUUUUAUUUCCUUAGCAGCCCAUCUCAGAAAAACAAAAUUUUUCAGUAUUAUAUUCUGCAGUUCCUCCCUCCCUCCCUGUCCCUUUUCCCUGUCCACAGCCUACAUCUUUGCCAGAUACUUAAUGCAGAAGUGAUUAGCUCAGCUUCUUGCAUGCUCUGCCCCUGCUCUGGGGUGGUUUAAGCGAUCUGCCUGGUUGCAGAAAAAAAAGUCACAGUGCUCACCAACGAGGCUGGGUGUCUCUGAGCCACAUCAUCCUGGAGGUGGCUGUUAAGAGCUGCCUCCAGGAGCAGCAGAGAGAUAGAGACACAGACUUCAGUGUUAAAGAUGCAGACUGCUGGGAUCACUCUGUUCCUUCUGUUAAUGACUCAGUCUGUAUUUACAGAGGAAUAAAGUAGGGGAAAAAAAAUCCCUGGUCCUGUAAUUUUCAUUAGUCCCCAAGAAAUCGAGUUAUUGAAGUAUUCUUUGGUAGGGAAGAAAAUUAGUUAUCUAGGCUUCCUCUUCCUAUGCAGGGAUUUUGUAUGAUUUUUGCCAAUAUUGCAUUUUAAAGUGUGUGGUUCUGGGACUGUCCUUCUCCAGGGGCCUUUGCUGUGUCAGGUACUAUUAGAAACUAAGGCUAAUUUGGGUCAAUAUUCCAUUAUAUGAAGCACAGUGAUAGGGAAAGGAGUUUUCAUUUGAAGGUAACUGGUCCUGGCCUGUACAUGGAGGCAGUCCUGACUGGAAAGAAACACAGACCCAUUUUGAACUUUCAGACACCAAAUUUUUGGGGUGCAAAGGUAAGCAGUGACUUAUUGAGUAGACUUAUGGGAGUAGAGACAGAAUUAGACAUUUUUUUAUAAUUCAUAUAACUCUAGAAAACAGUUGUGCCUUUUUUUUGGACAGAGUGCUAUCAUUCUCCAAAUGAGGCAGGCAUCAUCUUAUUGCCCUCAGUUUGUUUUUCAUUGUCACCCACGCACCCUGCUCCCACAGUCUGUGCUUUACUUUGCACAGAUAUUUAGAAUUCUCCAGUUGUUUCCACUACUUUUGAGAGCUUAUUUUCUCUCUUCCCUCUUUUUAUAGUUACUUUUUCCUUACAAUGCUUCUCAUUAAACUUUUUCUUCCACUUGACUACCUCCUUUCCAAUAACUUUUACUCUCUAGAGAGCAUCUAUAAUUUUUCUGGGCUAUAACAAACUUCUGAUUGACCAGUCCUCAGCUUUGAAGAGUGUCUUUUACUAUCUCAAAUGUACUAAUUGUGGAGUUUAACUUAUCUUCAUUUUCUUCCACUGCACAGUUCAGUGCCUCUAACCACUCCUCCUGGUUUCCCCAGGUUGACUGAUCAUAUUCAGAGACCAUGGAAGGGUAACCUGUUUUGAAGAUUAAUGCUACCUGCUCAUUUCCUGAUCAGGAAACUGUUGACUUUCACCUCCUCCCUACCACAGCAGAAGUUUGCACAAGAGGAAAGCAUGUGAGUACAGCCAGGAAAAAUGAAGAGCUGAAUGAGGCAGAGAUUAAAAGGUUAUUUAAGAGAGUCCUCAAAGACCAGUCUAAGGUUUGCUGCUGAGAAUGAAACCACUGAGAUGGAUAACGUUCUUACAAGAAAAGAUUUAAAAAAAUCUGUGAAGAUGUGCUGGCUAGUAUGAAGAUCAGAGGAAAGGAUGACCUGUCUGAAAAGAAGCUAUGUCCAGGAAAACAGAGGCUGAGAGGGGUAAAAAUUGCUAUCUGCUUUAAAGUUUCCUCCUUCAGCAAGGAUCAUGGUCAGCUAUCACUGGGGCUCCAAACCUGAGUUCACCUCGGGACCCACUCCAGGGAUAUGCUUUUUAAAAGCGUGAUGAGGACACACCGUCCAACGCUCCCGAAGGAAAGAAGGAGGAACAAGCGUGGUCAGUCAGAUUGGUUGCUUCCUUCUUUCAUGAUGCUGUUGGAUGUUCACCACAAGAGAUAUAUUCCUGGUGGAGAAAAACCUCUGAAGAAAAAGAGAAUUGAAGAAAAGACAGCUUUGGAAUGCAGCUAAACUACUGGACAACAGAUUUAUGAAAGUGUUGGGGAGAUUCUUGGAUAAUUUUGUCCAUGAAAAGCAAUCCUUGUAAUGAUGAAGAGAAGAGUGAUGAACAGAUUUUUCUCUAACACCGUAAUCCAGUACAAGGAAACAAACCUAGCAACGUGGCCGUAAAAUUAAUUCAAAUAAGUAAUGGAUAAGGAAAUAGGUAUAAUGAGUGGCCUUUAAUUUCAACUGUAGAGCAUCUCUAACCUUCAUGACAGUGCUCACACGCGUAUUCCUGUCUCACAUACUCACCUUCCUGCAAGUAUAUCCAGUGAACUGGCUUUGGCAGGAAAUCUUGGAUUGUGGACCACAAUUCAUUAGUCAUACCCUGUGGCUCAAUAUCACUUUCAGCAUGAUCCAAACUGCAAGUAUCCUUUGUGGAAGUAGAAGUGACAUGGUCCAAUGCUUCUGUCCUCUUCUUGGAAGGUUGUGAAGAAAGUUGUGAGAAAACUUCUUUAGUGCCCCGUACGUAUUCACAGAUUGACACAUGAUGAGUUCCCAAAAGAAACUGAGGAAAGCGGAUCAGAAAAUCACAGAAUGAAUCAUAAUAAAAUGGUCAGAAAGGGGGAUCAUCUAGCCCAUCAAUUUGCAGGAUUGAGUUCAGCUAAGUUAAUUCUGAUAGCCUCCUGUUACUGUAAUUUUUUUAAUUAUUAAAGUAUUUUUAAUAUUAGAAAUACCUGUUACUAUCCUCUAAGCAAGCCAUUUUGGUGCUUAGCUACUAUUUCUGCAACCUGGAAUUACAUCAUCAUGUUAGAAUUAAUAUAAGACAAUUGCUGGAAGUCCAUCACAGCCUUAAUAUGCUUCAUUCUUUCACUAGAUCCUUUCUGGAGUUUGGAAAGAGGCCUAACUGGCCAAAAUUUCUGUUCACUUUUUUAACAGUGUAAACUCGGCAUAAAUCCUUAGAAGGCCAAUAUUUUACUCCACAUUUCCACUAAAGCUGGAAUACAGUACCUGAGGACAGGAAACUCUUUAACUAGGAUGUAAAACCUACAGAUUUUCGUCUUCUCUGAGAUUUCAAAAUUUGUUCUUGAAGGCAGAAGGGCAGGGAUGGACAAAUAUGUAAUUGAGAGCUAAAGCAGGACAAUAAUGAACAAAUACCAUUAUUUUUCCUGUAGUUCUCCAAGGAAGCUAAGGUAGAGAUGUAGAAAGUCAGUAACAGUGAUGCACUUCACUUAGCAUGGGUUCAUGCAGUGCAAAAAGCUUAAUGUCUGGAGGUGAGCUGGCCCUAAUGGGCAUCAGUUGUUAUCCACAGAAAUGGAGCCUGUUAGAGGCAGCCUGGCUACCACAUCCAUCUGUGAUGGCUAGUGGGAUUUUCAACAUGCUUGUGACCUUUUCUUACUCAUUUUGCUUCAUUUUCAUCCAAUAAAAGCCAUCAUCUGACUGGUCCACCCAGCCCCGAAUUCUGCAGUCUGAGCCCAUUGGUGAGGGUUCAGUGAGAAGCUGAAGGGAGGAGGGAGAGGCUGCAAACAUAAAGCUGGGGAGGGAGGGGAGCUGCUGAAAGAUCUCUUCUCCUGACCAGCAACUACAUUUUUAUCAGGUUUUUUAUAUGUGCUCUUUUAUACAUAUAUGCAUGAAUAUGCAUAUACAUACACAUAUAUACAUAUAUAUAUAUCACUUUCUACACUUUUCUUAUUUCUUUCUGAAAUAACGACGAACUGCUGUAAAUCUGCUAACAGGCUAACAGAGGCCUUUACACACUGCCUUACACCACACAGGGUGAAAACCCUUUCCUACUCUAGCUGUCCUACAGCAGUCCCAUGGAUAUUGUAAAGCACCUGCAGUCAAAUCCACAUGAAAAUAACCCCACCAGGGCACCACCAACCACUUUAUCUCUUGCCAGUUUUGCAGACUGAUUUAUAGUUAAUAUCUGCCAGCAAAUUCAUGGCCCUUUUAGGACAUCAAGCACAGGAAAAAAGAUCUUGUUCUCACCAGAAUUAGGGACUUCCAGACCCCUGUCCUGUCUGAGAAGACUUUAAAGUAGGAGAGAAGGUUUCCUGUAUUUUCUUGCCCCACUACACAUACCUGCGAAGGCCAGAGUAUAAACUUAUCUCUGUGGAGGCAAGGAUUUAUCUCUUGAAACAAGCAUUUAACUUAGAAGGAGCACUGUGAAACCUACCAUAAAUCAUCCUAAACUUGCAAUUUUUAAGGAAAACAAUUAUAUACCUGAUCUAAAUUGAUCCAGUUUAAUAAGAAUCUCAUUUAUUAUUUAUAUGCCUUAUAAAGCUGCUGGCACAUGAGGAAGUUAUGAGUAACUAAGGAAGUUCACAUAGCAAAAACUUAUUACCUGUUAUUGCUGUUCCUUGACUAUUUUGAUGGUCGCAUGCUGGGUAUGUUUACACAAAAAAUCAGACUCUCCAACAAGAUAAUAUGAAUUUAACAGAAAUGUUGCUAACUUCAUUUCCACUGUACAGCAAAAUACUACUCUGUGAGGUUUAAGUAUGGAUAGUUGGAUGGAAUGAAGUCACAAAUACCCAGCAGUUUUCCUCCAUAGAGUUGCAACAGAGGUACAGUGACCUGUUUUUCAAAAUCCUGACAAGUCUUUGAUCAAACAUGAAAAGAAAUACAAUUUUAUUCAGACAAUUUAGAGCCAAAGCAUUGUUUACUUCCCUCCCCCCCCCCCUUUUUUUUUUUAAUGGUGGGUUUCUUAUCAAACAAGCUCAGCUUCAAUCUUAAGUCAUCAUUUGACAUUCCAGUUGCAUGGGUGUCUUUGCAUAGAGGCAGACUAUUUUGCAGUGAGGUUCAGUUCUAUUUAAUAGAUGAAAGUGAAUUCUAAAGGUUGAAAUUCUACCAAUAAAACUCAGAAGAACAGUGAUUUUAAUGACUUGCAACCGAAUGACCUACACUAGGCUGAAUUCUGACACAGGUGAGUGGGACAGCAGGAGUAAGAUCCAGGAGUCAAAUUAGAAAGAACCCUUUUCCAAAAGCACAAGGACGCAGAUUUUGAUUGGAUUGGUUAUCUCCUUCGGGAGGCAAGAUCUGUGUUUGGGAUUGCUCAUUUUGGGGCAGGGAAGGGAAGAGGCAGGUGGCAGGACAGGCACACAACACAACAUAUUGGGGGUAAUGUAGAAUGUUUGCCAGUCUGAGCAAAGGAGAUAUGCCAUUUAUUUUCCCAAGUGUCCUGCAAAAGGCUAUUUGAGAAGUGCAGUGACGUUUGACAAAUUGUCAAAAUCUUUGAGGUGACUCUGAUGCUGUCAGAGCAUUUUUCUCUCACCUCACACAAAGCUUUUCAACUCCUCCUAUUUUAACAAACCUAACCACAAAAAGUCAUCAGAUAUUCUUUUGCUAUUUUAGAUGGCUAUUGUUCCACUGCAUUUAAUCAUUAAGGAACCAGAAGGGACACAUUUCACUGAAAAAUAUUCAUUUGACCCUUUGUAAACAGCAACUUGAAGCAUUUUAACAGGCUCUUCAAACUGUUUGGGCAGAAAUAAAGAAGCAUCUGGUUUGAAGCAUGCUUUCAUAUUGUAUUGUUUAUGUUGAUAGCUUAAGUUCUUUGCUGUGCAUUGUUAUUUCUGACAAUUGAAUACAGAACAUUUUUGAUUCAACAAAGUACUUUCAUUCUACAGCAUGGGAAUAAAGCAAUCAAAGCUGA